CCUUUGGAAACAGUACCCAAAGGGCAUCUAUCAGUGGAGAGGUGGCUCAGCCCCACUUUCAUCUUAUCUUCCUGCUUUUGCUCCUGCUGUCUCACCUGUCUCGAACACAUUUUAUUGGUUUGGUGAACUGCAAUAUGUGCGUCGAGCCCAAGAUGCUGUGCCUGCCAGAGGAAUCCAUCCUAUGCCCAGCCCGAGUUAACCUGACUCCCUUAAUAUCCCAGCCACGCACUCUGUGGAGGCUCAGGAGAGAUUGUCUUGAUGUGUGACCCCAUAACAAUGCCCUGACUUCUCUGCAGAAAGGACGUCUCCUGCAGGCCCCAGUCCUCGUGGGAGCAUCUUCCUCCUCUCUUGCCUCUGCUUCUCAGUUCUGCAGAGGAACAUGUAAAGUGACACCACGAUGAAACAAUGUGCAAAAUAUAUCAUAUAGGACUUUCUAAGACCAGUAAUUCAGUUUUUCAAAAGAAGAAGAAAUGACAUGAAUAAUGGAGAAUGUAGGAUUGUUGGGAAAUAAAAGUCUAAAGACAUAACUAAAUUAACAUGUGUACUCUGUUUGGAUUCUGAUUUGAAAAAGUCAUUUUUGAGGAAAUCACAAUAUUUGACUAUCUGAGGAAAUAUUAAGGCAUUUAAAUUUGUUUGUUAGAUGUGCUAGAGGCAUGAU
RNAcentral lists this long non-coding RNA (658 nucleotides) under Equus asinus (donkey). RNAcentral's name for it is "lncRNA (ENSEASG00005027563.1)". The record is from RNAcentral. Lineage: Eukaryota; Metazoa; Chordata; Mammalia; Perissodactyla; Equidae.